UUCGAGCGUCAUUUCAACCCUCAAGCUCAGCUUGGUCUUGGGCUCUGCCGGUUACGGCUUGCCUUAAAAUUAGUGGCGGUGCCAUUGAGCUCUACGCGUAGUAAUAUAACCAUCGCUUUUGAGUCUCGGUGAACGCUUGCCAACAACCCCCAAUUUUUAUGGUUGACCUCGGAUCAGGUAGGGAUACCCGCUGAACUUAA
RNAcentral lists this unclassified non-coding RNA (200 nucleotides) under soil metagenome. RNAcentral's name for it is "partial contains internal transcribed spacer 2 and large subunit ribosomal RNA". The record is from RNAcentral.